AAUGAGAGUUUGAUCCUGGCUCAGGACGAACGCUGGCGGCGUGGAUAAGGCAUGCAAGUCGAACGGAUUUAUUUUUGUUAGCAAUAACUAAAAUGAAUUAGUGGCAGACGAGGUAGUAACACGUAGGUACGUACCCCAAAGUCGGGCAUAACUCAUCGAAAGGUGGGCUAAUUCCCGAUAUUGUCUCGAGAGUAAUCGAGGGACGAAAGGAGCAAUCCGCUUUGGGAACGGCCUGCGGGCUAUCAGCUUGUUGGUAGGGUAACGGCCUACCAAGGCGAUGACGGCUAGGGGGCGUGAGAGCGUGAUCCCCACCGACGGAACUGAGACACGGUCCGUACACCUACGGGUGGCAGCAGUCGAGAAUCUUCGACAAUGGGCGAAAGCCUGAUCGAGCGACGCCGCGUGCAGGAUGAAAUCCUUCGGGAUGUAAACUGCUUUUGGCAGGGAAAAACACAAUGAUGGUACCUGCAGAAUAAGGGCCUGCAAAUCUCGUGCCAGCAGCCGCGGUAAUACGAGAGGCCCAAGCGUUGUCCGGAGUUACUGGGCGUAAAGGGUGCGUAGGGGGUUGUGUUAGCCUCACCUUAAAUCUUCAUGCCUAACAUGAAGGCUGGGCGGGGAACGGCACAACUUGAGGGCGCGAGAGGCGAGUGGAACUCAUGGUGGAGGGGUGAAAUCCGUUGAUAUCAUGGGGAACACCAAAGGCGAAGGCAGCUCGCUGGCGCGUACCUGACCCUGAAGCACGAAAGCGUGGGGAUCAAAAAGGAUUAGAUACCCUUGUAGUCCACGCCCUAAACGAUGAUGACUAGCUAUUGGAAGUAUCGACCCUUUCAGUGGCGAAGCUAACGCGUUAAGUCAUCCGCCUGGGAAGUACGAGCGCAAGCUUAAAACUCAAAGGAAUAGACGGGGACUCGCACAAGCGGUGGAGCAUGUGGUUCAAUUCGACGGUAAACGAAGAACCUCACCAGGGCUUGAAAUUCCGACGACGAUUUUCCGAAAGGAAAAUUUUCUCACAAGGACGGCGGAACAGGUGCUGCAUGGUUGUCGUCAGUUCGUGGCUUGAGCUGUUCCCUUAAGUGGGGUAACGAACGCAACCCCUGUU
This 1099-nucleotide ribosomal RNA is filed under the name Candidatus Ryanbacteria bacterium RIFCSPHIGHO2_12_FULL_47_12b. RNAcentral describes it as "bacterial SSU rRNA". It matches the Rfam family "Bacterial small subunit ribosomal RNA", at positions 1 to 1109 of the family's 1533-position model. The record is from RNAcentral. Lineage: Bacteria; Candidatus Ryaniibacteriota.